This 244-nucleotide ribosomal RNA is filed under the name uncultured bacterium. RNAcentral describes it as "partial 16S ribosomal RNA". It matches the Rfam family "Bacterial small subunit ribosomal RNA", at positions 57 to 305 of the family's 1533-position model. The record is from RNAcentral.
GCAAGUCGAGCGGUAACGAGACUAGCUUGCUAUUCGGCGUCGAGCGGCGGACGGGUGAGUAAUGCUUGGGAAUAUGCCUUAUGGUGGGGGACAACAGUUGGAAACGACUGCUAAUACCGCAUAAUGUCUACGGACCAAAGGGGGCUUCCGCUCUCGCCUUUAGAUUAGCCCAAGUGAGAUUAGCUAGUUGGUAAGGUAAUGGCUUACCAAGGCGACGAUCCCUAGCUGGUUUGAGAGGAUGAUC